RNAcentral lists this transfer RNA (72 nucleotides) under Ictidomys tridecemlineatus (thirteen-lined ground squirrel). Its description in RNAcentral is "Spermophilus tridecemlineatus (thirteen-lined ground squirrel) tRNA". It matches the Rfam family "tRNA". Rfam says of the family: Transfer RNA (tRNA) molecules are approximately 80 nucleotides in length. Lineage: Eukaryota; Metazoa; Chordata; Mammalia; Rodentia; Sciuridae. RNAcentral also lists the same sequence under 1 other name. The record is from Rfam by way of RNAcentral.
GGGGAUAUAGCUCAGUGGUGGAGCACUUCCCUAGAGUGCAUGAGGCCCUGGGUUUGAUCCCCAGUACUGCCC